Long non-coding RNA from Syzygium oleosum, 960 nucleotides. RefSeq lists it as uncharacterized. The record is from RefSeq and is a predicted model, not a curated record. NCBI's taxonomy places the organism in Eukaryota, Viridiplantae, Streptophyta, Magnoliopsida, Myrtales, Myrtaceae. The transcript is spliced from 2 exons.
GAAGUGAAGCGAACCCUAACCCUAACCCUAGAAUCCACGCCCCCGCGGCGCUCUAUAAAGAUCCGACGGCGUCAUCAUCAUCCCCUUGCGCUCCCGGCCGAGGCAUUGAGCUCCUCGUGACUGGCUCUCUCUCAGUGGGAGGAUCUGUCUUUGAAGAGGGCAAAUGACGAGCUUUUUAUAGUGAUUGAGUACUCAUGCUCUGCUUUUGAGUAUAAUGAUUCAAUACUUUGAAUAGGAAGAUCUGAUGCUUCUCUUCUCUGAUAUUUUUCUCAUCGUAUUGGUUUUGUUUUUCAUUAUCAAUUUAAACAGAAGCCAGUGAUGACGAAUUGGAAUAAAAUCCUGAAGGCAAGUUUUUAUGGGCUUGGCUUUUGGUGUUGAAAUUUCUGAACUAGGACGGUCUGAGGCUUUUUCUGUGUAUACCUGUGUUUAUACACACACACACAUUGUUUCCUCCAUUACUGAAUCAAUAGAUGGUAUUGAUCAGUACCAUACAAAUGGCGAAUAAGAGUCAAACAAUUGUCUUGUUUCGUUUGGUCCUUUUCUUUUGUCUAUUCAUUGUUGUUUCAAGAAAGCAAAAGCGUUGUGGAUGAUGAGACAUAGAAAUUACAGUUAUCCCUGGCUGAUGCAUCAGGUGCUGAAAUAUGUAAAUCUGACACAACCGCUGUACUUCUGUUUGCUUGCUUGAAAAAUUGGAGGGGGAAAUCUUUGCCGUUCCUUCUCAAUUCUGCUUAUGUGAUCACACAUUAGCAUAAAAGCAGCCACGAUGUAGGAGAAGGGCUAGGACUUCCGCCAUGUUUUCGGGGAAGUGGGAAAUGAAUGGAAUCGCUGUUCCUGCACUUAUUUUCAUUCCAUUGUUUGGCAUGUGUAGGAAAUAAGCAUUUUGAAGUAAAUGCCUAAUUCCAUCAAAGGAAUGAGUAGGCAUUCCUUCCUUCUUUAAUUCCACUUCAAUUUUUUUGUUUC